AAAUUGAAGAGUUUGAUCAUGGCUCAGAUUGAACGCUGGCGGCAGGCCUAACACAUGCAAGUCGAGCGGUAGCACAGAGAGCUUGCUCUCGGGUGACGAGCGGCGGACGGGUGAGUAAUGUCUGGGAAACUGCCUGAUGGAGGGGGAUAACUACUGGAAACGGUAGCUAAUACCGCAUAAUGUCGCAAGACCAAAGUGGGGGACCUUCGGGCCUCAUGCCAUCAGAUGUGCCCAGAUGGGAUUAGCUAGUAGGUGGGGUAACGGCUCACCUAGGCGACGAUCCCUAGCUGGUCUGAGAGGAUGACCAGCCACACUGGAACUGAGACACGGUCCAGACUCCUACGGGAGGCAGCAGUGGGGAAUAUUGCACAAUGGGCGCAAGCCUGAUGCAGCCAUGCCGCGUGUGUGAAGAAGGCCUUCGGGUUGUAAAGCACUUUCAGCGGGGAGGAAGGCGGUGAGAUUAAUAACCUCAUCGAUUGACGUUACCCGCAGAAGAAGCACCGGCUAACUCCGUGCCAGCAGCCGCGGUAAUACGGAGGGUGCAAGCGUUAAUCGGAAUUACUGGGCGUAAAGCGCACGCAGGCGGUCUGUCAAGUCGGAUGUGAAAUCCCCGGGCUCAACCUGGGAACUGCAUUCGAAACUGGCAGGCUAGAGUCUUGUAGAGGGGGGUAGAAUUCCAGGUGUAGCGGUGAAAUGCGUAGAGAUCUGGAGGAAUACCGGUGGCGAAGGCGGCCCCCUGGACAAAGACUGACGCUCAGGUGCGAAAGCGUGGGGAGCAAACAGGAUUAGAUACCCUGGUAGUCCACGCCGUAAACGAUGUCGAUUUGGAGGUUGUGCCCUUGAGGCGUGGCUUCCGGAGCUAACGCGUUAAAUCGACCGCCUGGGGAGUACGGCCGCAAGGUUAAAACUCAAAUGAAUUGACGGGGGCCCGCACAAGCGGUGGAGCAUGUGGUUUAAUUCGAUGCAACGCGAAGAACCUUACCUGGUCUUGACAUCCACAGAACUUAGCAGAGAUGCUUUGGUGCCUUCGGGAACUGUGAGACAGGUGCUGCAUGGCUGUCGUCAGCUCGUGUUGUGAAAUGUUGGGUUAAGUCCCGCAACGAGCGCAACCCUUAUCCUUUGUUGCCAGCGGUUAGGCCGGGAACUCAAAGGAGACUGCCAGUGAUAAACUGGAGGAAGGUGGGGAUGACGUCAAGUCAUCAUGGCCCUUACGACCAGGGCUACACACGUGCUACAAUGGCAUAUACAAAGAGAAGCGACCUCGCGAGAGCAAGCGGACCUCAUAAAGUAUGUCGUAGUCCGGAUUGGAGUCUGCAACUCGACUCCAUGAAGUCGGAAUCGCUAGUAAUCGUAGAUCAGAAUGCUACGGUGAAUACGUUCCCGGGCCUUGUACACACCGCCCGUCACACCAUGGGAGUGGGUUGCAAAAGAAGUAGGUAGCUUAACCUUCGGGAGGGCGCUUACCACUUUGUGAUUCAUGACUGGGGUGAAGUCGUAACAAGGUAACCGUAGGGGAACCUGCGGUUGGAUCACCUCCUUACCUUAAAGAA
RNAcentral lists this ribosomal RNA (1550 nucleotides) under Klebsiella pneumoniae. Its description in RNAcentral is "bacterial SSU rRNA". It matches the Rfam family "Bacterial small subunit ribosomal RNA". The record is from RNAcentral. Lineage: Bacteria; Pseudomonadati; Pseudomonadota; Gammaproteobacteria; Enterobacterales; Enterobacteriaceae.